This is a long non-coding RNA of Astyanax mexicanus (Mexican tetra), 1489 nucleotides long. RefSeq lists it as uncharacterized. Lineage: Eukaryota; Metazoa; Chordata; Actinopteri; Characiformes; Acestrorhamphidae. The transcript is spliced from 3 exons. The record is from RefSeq and is a predicted model, not a curated record.
CUAGCCAAUGAGGAUUCAGCAGGUUGUCAUAGAGAUGGAGAGUAGAAGGAAAAAAAGGGGGAAGGGUGAGCACGAGGCAGCAGGAGGUUGUAAGUUCGCUGCCUAGUCAGCUAAAAGUUUCUCCACAAGAGAUAUAUGUUAGUUUUGAGUUUAUUAAGUGGGUAAAAACCUCGGGCAGAAUGUUUGUCUAUACCUUUUUGGAGUGAGCUGGACUUUAUAUGCCCCACCCCGGGUCAGUGUUUCUGCUCGAAAUCUGGAAUUGACGAGUCUGCUAGCUGGCUAAGUUAGCUGCGUGGAGCUAAAGGGUCUGCGUAACUCUGCACAAGAGCAACGUUCCCCUUUGAACUGUAAAGUAAGGUCAGUUAUAACUGUGAGAUAUUGUCAACAGCAAGAGUCGACAGAGUUCAUCCCCGGUGGAACUAAGGACAACUCUUUUAACUACAUGUAUGCUGCUGAACUGAGAGAGAGAUGCUGGCUAGUGAGCUGCGGAGCUCUGCUACUGCUGAACCGAGAGAAGGUGCGGAGCUGUGCUGCUGCUGGACCGAGAGAAGGUGCGGAGCUGUGCUGCUGCUCCUGAACCGAAAGAAGGUGAUUCCUGGGAUGUCGUCAAAUCAAGUCCCGAACUAAAGGGCUGUGGUCGAGAAGAACAUCAAGCCGCAACAAAAUACAACAAGGAAUCCUAUCACAUUUAAUAAACAUACUUCAAUCAUUCUGUCUGAAUACUGUCAUAUAUCUUCCUAGGACAUACCGUAUCUCCUUACCAAUGGAUCUACUACCCUGUCACUCGAAGAAGAUAUAAGAGAAGAUGAGCAGCAGUACAACAGAUCGAUGGAGAGGCCUGAAGGUCGUGAGCCGAUUUGGGCCUCCUGUGUUGCAGAUUAGCGAAUAGCUAAGAGCAGACAGGCAGACAGACAGGCGGGAGGUGAUAACAGGACCUGUCAUUUAGUGUUAAUAACAAACGCAGGCGUAAACACAAAGUCAAUCUCUCAUUCAUUCCCUCUCUCUCUUUCACUAUCACUCUCACUCACGAUAAACUCAUACACAAAGGAACACCCAGAUUGAGAAGGAUUAUCAGUAGAGCAGUGGUGAUGGCUUAUUGCCCGCUGGCCAGACCGUUGAUAGCCAUAUGCGAUUGGACAGAGGAGAUUAUUCCAUGUGCAAAUAUGACACAGAUAGUGUUCAUGUCACUUAGUUGGUUUCUAUGCUGCUUUAAACAGGUAUGGGAAUAGACCUGACCCCGUUUCAAAGAUUUAGGACCUUUUCACACCUGUAGUUGUUUUUUAUGGUCAGAAUCAAUUGAUAAGUUUGUUAACUUUGAGUGUUUCUCCCUCUGUUUGGUUUAGUUUCACACAGGCACAAACCUAAACGCAUUAAAAUAUGCACCAAUAAACCACAUUAGCAUGUUCUGUCCUCUGAUUGGUCAGAGCUGUCUGGUGCGGGAGCAAGAAAGUUAAUAUAACGAGAAGAUUCUGUGUUCCAGAACAUUCUG